RNAcentral lists this unclassified non-coding RNA (336 nucleotides) under soil metagenome. RNAcentral describes it as "partial contains 5.8S ribosomal RNA, internal transcribed spacer 2, and large subunit ribosomal RNA". The stretch from base 1 to 120 matches the Rfam family "5.8S ribosomal RNA", at positions 35 to 154 of the family's 154-position model. The record is from RNAcentral.
GAUGAAGAACGUAGCGAAAUGCGAUAAGUAGUGUGAAUUGCAGAAUUCAGUGAAUCAUCGAAUCUUUGAACGCACAUUGCGCUCCUUGGUAUUCCAUGGGGCAUGCCUGUUCGAGCGUCAUUUGUACCUUCAAGCUUUGCUUGGUGUUGGGUGUUUGUCUCGCCUUUGCGUGUAGACUCGCCUUAAAAUAAUUGGCAGCCGGCGUAUUGAUUUCGGAGCGCAGUACAUCUCGCGCUUUGCACUCAUAACGACAGCGUCCAAAAGUACAUUUUACACUCUUGACCUCGGAUCAGGUAGGGAUACCCGCUGAACUUAAGCAUAUCAAUAAGCGGAGGA